Molecule: ribosomal RNA, 464 nt
Filed under: uncultured bacterium
Lineage: Bacteria
Description: partial 16S ribosomal RNA
Rfam family: Bacterial small subunit ribosomal RNA
Source: RNAcentral
GACGAACGCUGGCGGCGUGCUUAACACAUGCAAGUCGAACGGAAAGGCCCAGCUUGCUGGGUGCUCGAGUGGCGAACGGGUGAGUAACACGUGGGUGAUCUGCCCCUAACUUCGGGAUAAGCUUGGGAAACUGGGUCUAAUACCGGAUAGGACAAUCGUUUAGUGUCGGUUGUGGAAAGUUUUUUCGGUUAGGGAUGAGCCCGCGGCCUAUCAGCUUGUUGGUGGGGUAAUGGCCUACGAAGGCGUCGACGGGUAGCCGGCCUGAGAGGGUGGACGGCCACAUUGGGACUGAGAUACGGCCCAGACUCCUACGGGAGGCAGCAGUGGGGAAUAUUGCACAAUGGGCGCAAGCCUGAUGCAGCGACGCCGCGUGGGGGAUGACGGCCUUCGGGUUGUAAACCUCUUUCGACAGGGACGAAGCUUUGGUGACGGUACCUGUAUAAGAAGCACCGGCUAACUACGUG